RNAcentral lists this ribosomal RNA (344 nucleotides) under uncultured bacterium. RNAcentral's name for it is "bacterial SSU rRNA". It matches the Rfam family "Bacterial small subunit ribosomal RNA", at positions 8 to 334 of the family's 1533-position model. The record is from RNAcentral.
AGGGUUUGAUUCUGGCUCAGGAUGAACGCUGGCGGCGUGCCUAACACAUGCAAGUCGAACGGGGUUAUUUUGGAAAUCUCUUCGGAGAUGGAAUUCUUAACCUAGUGGCGGACGGGUGAGUAACGCGUGAGCAAUCUGCCUUUAGGAGGGGGAUAACAGUCGGAAACGGCUGCUAAUACCGCAUAAUACGUUUGGGAGGCAUCUCUUGAACGUCAAAGAUUUUAUCGCCUUUAGAUGAGCUCGCGUCUGAUUAGCUGGUUGGCGGGGUAACGGCCCACCAAGGCGACGAUCAGUAGCCGGACUGAGAGGUUGAACGGCCACAUUGGGACUGAGACACGGCCCAG